AAAGGCCUAAGAUAAAGGUUAUAAUACUAUACAGUCUGUAACACUGUGACUGAGAAGGAAGAGAGGCAGUCAAGCUGCAAUCACAAAGCAGAGCAGAAUCUGAGAACUAAUGUAACCAGGUGGGCGAGUACUUUGACAAGUUUACGUGUUGGGAGGGCAGGACAGAAAAGAAGGAAGGAGUGGGUGUGGAGUUUCGCUCCCAGCUUCUGGUCAUUCAACAAACUCAGUAGCACCGGAGCAGUCAUAAAGACAGGUUGGCUUCCCACCUCUGGUCUUUUGGACUUUUACUAUGAGAGUGUUGGUGUUUUUGGAUAACAAUGUGUUCACAUUUUACUGAAACUUAUUGAAAGAGGGAACUUCAUUAGGCCAGCGUCACCUUAAACUGGAAUCCACCUGCCUACCUGUUCAUUAAGACUUCAGUAUCAGUUGGGGUAACACACUGGACAACCCGAGGAAUCACUUGUACACUGAAGGAGUGUAUCCAGACUGAAGAGUGGAUUCAAAACAGUGCCAUUUAAUGUGAUCAGAAAUGUCUGACUCACCUCAGACGAAAGUGAUGGUGGAUGAAGCGGUCCCACUGAACAACAUAUCAGGUUCGGGUGACACACCGAAUAGCAAUGCCAUUUCUGGGCGGGGUUCUGCGACCUGCGGCCAUGACAAGUACCAUAGGAAACUGGCAAUCAGCAGCAUCAUCUGUGGGAUCACCUGCAUUGGAGUCAUUGCUUUGACUAAUUCAUUCAAGGCUGAACAUACAACAGACCCAACGCUAGCUGCAACAUUUUCACGACGAGCAAGGAAAUAUUCCAUCAUUUCCAUUGUAGUAUUGGUUUCUAUUCUGGUCUCAAUCCCCAUACUGAUGGCACUUAUCACAUAUGUUCUCACUCUGCAAGAUUGAGAAACACAGACAAACCUCUGCAGAAGACACCCAGUGGAGACGCUUUCCUGCUUUCGGAUGGAGACAGCACAAAAGCUUCUUAUCAACAAAGAACCAUGAAGAUAUGAAGAAACCACUGGUUACAUGAAACACAAAAAAAGAUGGCUUUGGUCUUCAAUUUACCCCUUACUCUUAAACAUCUCUCUCUCUCUCUGUUUUUUUACACAAGAAAUAGCUCUAGAAAACUCAACCUUUACAUGUUUUUACACACUAGUAUUUAUUUCAAUGACCACAAAAGCCAUUAUCAGCUGCAGUUUGAAAGAUGACACAUACAUUACAUACUUAAAAUUAUAACUGUCAUAUUCAUGGCACCUUAAAUGUCAUUAAAAUUUAGCAACCAUAACAAAGGUUUGAACACGGGUUCUUUUUCAGUUCAAUACUGUGUCAUUAGCACAUACUAUAAACACAUGCAGAUACCACAAAGUUUAAAAAGAGCAACAUAAAGCUGUUCAUCCUGGACUGGGUCUGUACUUUAAAUGACAAGGCAUGACAGUGGUUCAUGAAAACACGGACUUCUAGCUUGGUGCCAACAUUGUGCAAGCAUUAUUGCAUUGUUACCAUAUUAGCUUUAUUGAUGUCAAAUGUAUCAGUAUGUUGUACUUUUAUACAAAUAUAUAAAACAAUUUUCUAGUAAUGACAAAACUGUGCUCCUGUUGUUGGAAACAUGCCCUCAUGAAAAUACUUAUUGUAAAUACACCUACAAAACAUUUUAACAGAAAAUCUUACUGUUAAGAAACCUAAAACAAAAAACAAACAUAGGCAGUUUAACAAGAACUUUGACUUCACAUAUCAAUCUAGACACCACAGAACAAUCCAGAGUGAACCACAGGUAACACUGGAGUCUCGACAUGUCCACUCUUUAUUAGAAAAGCUCGAGUGCUGCAGUGCGUCCAUGUUACAUUUUACACAACAAAAACCUCUCCAACCAUAAAUUACAGUUAACCAAAUAACUGAUGAAGGUCUGCACUGAGCUUAGAAAAAAAGAUUUACAAUUUCCUUGCUAUUUGCAGACUCACCGUUCAUAAACUUCAUGGACAGAAACAUGGUUGUGAAACUGGCUGAAGUGAACACAAAUCUCUUGCUGGCAUCUGAAAAGAUCUAGUCAGCAUUUAAUUGAAUAAUAUCUGCCUUUACAAUAACCUACGAUGAUGCUGCAAAGUCACUACUACUUAUGUGAUACACUGCUGUCUAUCAAACCCGACAGCACAACACCAACGAGAUGUAAACUGCAUUGGUAUUUUUGAAAAGAAACGGUAAUUGCAGCAAAAUAGCAUCAUCACUCCCCGUUGAAGGGAGUUUGUAACAAUCUGGGGACAAGACUGAGAUUUCAGACAAAACAUACUCUAUAAAAGGUUUACAUCAAGGGUGUCAGCAUUUGUAUCAAGACAGUUUCACUUACUGCUGAUAGAAAGAACGAAUGGCAAAGGUUUGUGCUGUAAUGAUAAAAUUAUGUAUUGCUCUUCGACAUGCACGCCCCAAACGCUGCAGAAUGAAAAUGUAAUUCAAUAAUAACUUGUUACCAUAACAUUUAUAUACAGACCAUGGUGACAAAGACAAAAAAA
This is a long non-coding RNA of Monopterus albus (swamp eel), 2496 nucleotides long. RefSeq lists it as uncharacterized. The transcript is spliced from 3 exons. The record is from RefSeq and is a predicted model, not a curated record. Lineage: Eukaryota; Metazoa; Chordata; Actinopteri; Synbranchiformes; Synbranchidae.